Molecule: ribosomal RNA, 590 nt
Filed under: uncultured bacterium
Lineage: Bacteria
Description: bacterial SSU rRNA
Rfam family: Bacterial small subunit ribosomal RNA (bases 1-525)
Source: RNAcentral
CCUACGGGAGGCAGCAGUGGGGAAUAUUGCACAAUGGGCGAAAGCCUGAUGCAGCGACGCCGCGUGAGGGAUGACGGCCUUCGGGUUGUAAACCUCUUUCAGCAGGGAAGAAGCGAGAGUGACGGUACCUGCAGAAGAAGCGCCGGCUAACUACGUGCCAGCAGCCGCGGUAAUACGUAGGGCGCAAGCGUUGUCCGGAAUUAUUGGGCGUAAAGAGCUCGUAGGCGGCUUGUCACGUCGGGUGUGACAGCCCGGGGCUUAACCCCGGGUCUGCAUUCGAUACGGGCUAGCUAGAGUGUGGUAGGGGAGAUCGGAAUUCCUGGUGUAGCGGUGAAAUGCGCAGAUAUCAGGAGGAACACCGGUGGCGAAGGCGGAUCUCUGGGCCAUUACUGACGCUGAGGAGCGAAAGCGUGGGGAGCGAACAGGAUUAGAUACCCUGGUAGUCCACGCCGUAAACGGUGGGAACUAGGUGUUGGCGACAUUCCACGUCGUCGGUGCCGCAGCUAACGCAUUAAGUUCCCCGCCUGGGGNGACGCGCGAGACGAACGACGAAGAAGUGAGNGUGAGAGNGCGAGCGCGACGAGGAGAGG